GACAAAUUGAGGUAGAGAAUAGGACACUAACCACUCUAUUGCGUGCUAUGAUCCAAAAGAACUUGAAAUCUUGGGAAGAUUGUUUGCCAUUUGUUGAGUUUGCUUAUAAUUGCGUUAUGCAUUCUUCCACAGGAUUUUCACCUUUUCAGCUUGUAUAUGGAUGUAAUCCAUUCACACCACUAGACUUGCUACCAUUGCCUAUUGAUAAUAUUGAUAGUCUAGAUGGUAAAAAAAAUGCUAAAUUGGUUAAGAAAUUACAUGAGCAAGCUAGGGUACACAUUAAAAAGAAAAAAGCACAAUAUGCUUCUCAUGCUAACAAAGGCCACAAGGUAUUUAUUUUUGAGCCAGGUGACUUGGUGUGGGUACAUUUUAG
Molecule: unclassified non-coding RNA, 373 nt
Filed under: Hevea brasiliensis (rubber tree)
Lineage: Eukaryota; Viridiplantae; Streptophyta; Magnoliopsida; Malpighiales; Euphorbiaceae
Source: RNAcentral